CUCCAACAUCUCACUGAGACAAACAGAUGUUUAUUGCAACCCUGAACUAGCUCACCGGAUGAAUCUAUUCAAGGGGCUUGAUGAUUAGGGGCAAGUUGAAUCAGGUGUGCUAGCUCUGGAAUACAUCCCAUACAUGGGGAUCACAGAGGUGAGGUUUGAGAACCACUAAGCUGUUUUCGGAGCUGAUCUGAUUAAAUACAUCUAAUUAGUUGUCUCAGUCAAGCUGUUAAAACAUUGGAAAAGUGAUGGUAGCUUCAAUAUAUUCUUAAGUUUUAAGGUACUUUCAUCUGAGAAUAUUUACAGUGAACCUAGAAUAACAUGACCAAAAUUGCAUGGUAUUUAGUAAGAGUACAAGCUGGAUGAUACACAAGGGAAAUCAUGCAGGUGGAAGCAAGUGUCUAGUGAAGGGCUAUGGCACUGGAUGGUUGUGCUAAUCGGAAAGCUGUAGGAGUUUUGUUUGGUGUGAUUUGGAAAAUCCAGGUUUUCCCCCCAGUUUCCAAUUUGUGAUCAAGGCCUCGCUCCAGCGCAUGCAGCUCUCUGCAGAUGUCACGAUGCGUUCAUGUGUCCUCUGAAGCACAUCCGAUACCGCUCUGCAGAGACCACUCCGGUUCUUAUUACGCUCAGCCAGGACGUUUAGACAGGGAUUCUUACGCGCCGGAGGGAACACACUCUCCUGGCCUUCUACCUCCACUGAACUCGCAGAUAUCCAAGCUGCCACAAGGAGUAGCCAGAGAGUGAGGAGGCACGGAAGAAACGUUUGAUUACUAGCCCUCUCAACCCGACGGUGCUGGGUGAUUACAGGCUCGUCUGCAGGACCCCUGGGCUAAUUCUCAAGCAGGCUUCAAACCUGGAAGAGCAUUGCUGCUGCAAACUGCAAGGCAGUGACUUUUCUGCUGCACCUGGCUUCACCUGGUUGACCUUAGUGCUGUCUUCAGUACCACUGAUCGCCACAUUCUUUUGGAAGAGGUCCCUGACUCAAAUGUGUCUGUUUUCAUCAGAUGUGCUGCUUUUUUUAAAUGUAAUUUCUGUACAUUUUCAUUGUAAUGCCGAUGACCAUCAACUGUAUAUUUCAAUGAAUCAUGGCAAAGGCCCUUAACUUCCAUGUUUCAGACAAGGGAGUGGAUUUUCUUUAGAACUUUUCUUAUAAACUUGGGUUAAAGAGAAAAUGUAUGCUAGGUCUUGGUCACGGCACAAAGAGAUCUGCUGACAAUGACUUUCAAGGGUUGUCCAGUCUCCAUGUCAACCCAAACAUUACGGGACCUUUUCUCUAGAUCCUGAUCUCUCUUGACAAACAUAUAAACAAAUAUUUCAUUGCAUUUUUACACCCAACCGGACAUGUUUAAUCACAGAAACAUGCAAAAUAGCUCACCCAUAUAAAAAAAACCAACAUUUUAAAUGUUUUGACCAAUGAGAUCAUAUUAUUCCAGUGCUAACCUCUCUACACUGGCUGCCUCUUAAGGCUUGGGCUGAUUUAACAGGUUUAGUGUAAACCUACAAAGCUGAACACGGACUGCCUCCAUAUUAUCUUUCUAAACUGGUCCUGCCGUACGUACCUAUAUGUACGGCAUGGUCCAAAGACAAAGGCCUCAUUACUGACUCUGGAACUGUUUAACUGGCAGGGCCCUCUCAGUUAGCAGAGCUACAUUUAUCUGGAAUGAUCUGCCAAUUCAUGUUAGAGGCAGACUCGGUUUGAAGUCGUUAGUGUAGCAGGAUUAAGUGUAGUCUGGCCCAGGGGCGUGAAUCUGAACACCAAGGCAAUGGUUUGGUUUGACAAACCACCUUGCUGUCUCUGCGUGACGGGCUCUCCUUUCUCCACCGGGAUACUGUGCUGCUCACCCUCUUGUGUGGGACCGGGUCUCAUGUACUCACAGCAAAAAGAGCACCCUACCAGCACGGCUCCUUGCUAGUUUGUUACUUUUCAAGGGUAUUUUUGAUAUAAGCCCUUUUGUGACUGAUUAGAAAAGGGCUUUUUCUUAAAAAAUAAAUAAAAAUACACUUGAUUGAGUGAAACUUCACUUUUCAUAGAGGCGUAUUAUAAAAUACACUUCAGUCAACUUCAGUAUUCAAGCCAAUGUAACGGUGUAGGUUGCCCUCCUGCUCAGAGCCGCGACACAAGAUGUGUACUAUCUUCCUAGUCAGUUUAAUGGUGUUGGUGAUAUGUGUCUGGGAAAUGGCACGCGACUUUAACACCGUGUGUUGUGGACUUAACCAACCUGUUUAUUACCGAGAGCUAGAGAAAGUCGUCGCCCCCGUGUCCCUACGGUAACCCAACCCCCCCCCCCCCCCUCGGCUGGUGAAAUGUGCUUACUGCUUUGAACUGUCUCCCCCCUCUGCCCUUCUCAUCCAGGACGAUAUCCUGGGUCCAGGAGUAAAAGACCGGUGAUAAUGUGCAUUCAUUUAACUAUUCGUUAUGGGGCACAGCUAAAAGGGAUGUUGAUGGCUCUGUAAAUCAUUGUGAGCAGCGACGGGGCUGUGGUUAAACGUUUAGGGUGAGUAAUGGGUGAAUAGUUUGACAGAAGUUAUGAAUUUUUUUUAAAUGUUGCGUGUAGCAUGACUCUCUGUAGGAUAUAAUAAUUUUUUACUCCAGUUAUUGUUCGUGAAGAGGUCCAACAGCAAUAUUAGCUGGUUGAUGUAGAUUUUAUGGCUUUUGAUAUUUUCAUUUUACGGGCUCUCUGCUGGUUGGGUUGGGUGCCAUCUUGUGUGACGAAACAUUUCCUAAAGCACAUCACACUGGCUCCCCUUCUAUGGAGUUUCGGACAACCUCACCGCUUUGUUUCCUGGCUAUAGUGCUGUUUUCUAGCCCGCACUGUGACAAACACACAGACACAAGUUGACAAGAGAACACAGACUGAUCUAGGACCAGGCUAUCCUGGCCUUGUCUGGCUCCUUCACAAGGCUGGGUGACACAUUGUCAACCCCCAGAUUAUUCAUAGACUAUCAACAUACCGCAGAUUAACAUUUCUCUCCGCGAAGCACACGGUUCCUCUCCAUUGCUCCUCAUGCCUUCACUGACACUUGACUCCCCUCUCCCCCUCUUGCCUCCUUCCCUCCUCCCUUUCUUAACACAGUUGUCCUUACAUAUUAUGGUCCGGGUGCGAUUAACUGCGGGAAUCUGUCGCACUCGUUUCAUUUUGCCACCGGGGUGAGAGAGAGACGAGGGGGGGAGGCGAGGGGCGAGGAGAGGGAUGGAGCGAAAAAGGCUGGAGGUGAGGGAAAGAGGAGGAAAAAAGGGUUUUGAAAGAGAAGAUAUGUUUGUGGUCUCUUCUCCACAAGUCCCACUGCGCCUCUAUUCUGUAGGGAGGUAGUACUUGUUUUGCAUCCAUCUCUCUUCGUUGACUCUUGGAAGUGUGGCGAUA
Long non-coding RNA from Esox lucius (northern pike), 3356 nucleotides. NCBI's taxonomy places the organism in Eukaryota, Metazoa, Chordata, Actinopteri, Esociformes, Esocidae. The record is from Ensembl.